RNAcentral lists this ribosomal RNA (377 nucleotides) under uncultured bacterium. RNAcentral's name for it is "bacterial SSU rRNA". It matches the Rfam family "Bacterial small subunit ribosomal RNA", at positions 521 to 896 of the family's 1533-position model. The record is from RNAcentral.
UAAGACAGAGGUGCCAAGCGUUAGGCGGAAUCACUGGGCUUAAAGCGUGUGUAGGCGGACUUGUAAGUACCUUGUGAAAUCCCACGGCUCAACCGUGGAACUGCUCGGUAUACUGCUUGUCUUGAGCCACUUAGGGGCUGUCGGAACAAACGGUGGAGCGGUGAAAUGCGUAGAUAUCGUUUGGAACGCCAAUGGUGAAAACAGACAGCUGGGAGUGUGCUGACGCUGAGACACGAAAGCCAGGGGAGCGAACGGGAUUAGAUACCCCGGUAGUCCUGGCCCUAAACGAUGUCGACUAGAUCGUGGCGGCUCUGACGCCGUCACGGUCGAAGCAAAAGUGCUAAGUCGACCGCCUGGGAAGUACGGUCGCAAGGCUA